UGUAGCUCAGUUGGUAGAGCAUGGCGCUUGUAACGCCAGGGUAGUGGGUUUGAUUCCCGGGACCACCCAUACGUAGAAUGUAUGCACACAUGACUGUAAGUCGCUUUGGAUAAAAGCGUCUACUAAAUGGCAUAUAUUAUUAUAUUAUUAUUAUUAUUGAUAUGAUUUGUUCUACUGCUCCAUUGAUGUCUUUAAAAAGUAUAUGAAAUUCGGGUCUUGUAAGCCCCACUGCUUGAGUAUCCAUGCAUAUGGUGGGUGUUGCUGUACAUUGAUGUCUUUAAAAUUAGGUUUAUAAGAAAUUCAGAUUUGUAAGCCCCACAGCUAUACUAGAUUAUGUGGGCACAGUAUAUGUUUGAGACCAACGGCGUCACGUGACGGUGGCUGUGUGAGAAGCGUGCCAGUAUCUCUCGCAUAAAUAGAAUGAGAUUCACUUUCUAUGAUCUCUCUCCCUCUCUGCUCCGAAAGACAUAUGCCUGAACUCUCAUCUCGCAAGCGUUACACUUAAUACUUAGACUCUAUGCUGUAGGCACCCAAAAUAUUUGAUCAACUUCCAAAUUGUGUUUUACAAAAAAAAAAAAAAAAAGAGAGAGAAAUAGGCUUUUGGCAGGAGUGCAUCGUUCAUCGUCAGUGAGUGAACUCCCUGUCGUUGGGAGAAUCAGUGAAACACGUUUAGCGCUAUAAUAUCCUCCUCGUAUUGUAGCUGUUUGAUAGAUUCAAGACAAGGUUAUUUUUAUUGAUCUCAGGUUCUCAGUUUGUCAGUGUCAAAGUAGCUUGUCAUUUCCAUAAUUUGUGUGGUAUUACCAACGAUUCUGUCAACAUCUCCAGUCAUGUAAAAAUGUCGAAGAAUUGCGUUAUAAGUGUUUAUUUAAUAAAAAGGCCUUUCCCGGACAUUAUUCUGCAACUUCUGUAACUGCUCCGAUACCGAUACGCAAAAACCACGAUAUGAAUCAACUGCUUUUCAAUAAAAAGGGGGAGAAAUUAUGCAUUCCUUCACAACACCCCAGGAACUUUACAACACCCCAGGUUAAGCCCUUCACGUGCUCACUGUUUGAUCCGGCAACUGCCGAUCUACAACUGAUGCACAGAGAAAGAUGAAUCUGUAGCAGUUGUAAGGACAGUAACCAGUCCCAGUAUGGUGAAUCUAUACCAGUUAGUGGUUAGUAGACAGUAACCAGUCCCAGUAAGGUGAAUCUAUACCAGUUAGUAGACAGUAACCAGUCCCAGUAUGGUGAAUCUAUACCAGUUAGUAGAUAGUAACCAGUCCCAGUAUGGUGAAUCUAUACCAGUUAGUAGACAGUAACCAGUCCCAGUAAGGUGAAUCUAUACCAGUUAGUAGAUAGUAACCAGUCCCAGUAUGGUGAAUCUAUACCAGUUAGUAGACAGUAACCAGUCCCAGUAAGGUGAAUCUAUACCAGUUAGUGGUUAGUAGACAGUAACCAGUCCCAGUAAGGUGAAUCUAUACCAGUUAGUAGACAGUAACCAGUCCCAGUAUGGUGAAUCUAUACCAGUUAGUAGACAGUAACCAGUCCCAGUAAGGUGAAUCUAUACCAGUUAGUAGAUAGUAACCAGUCCCAGUAUGGUGAAUCUAUACCAGUUAGUAGACAGUAACCAGUCCCAGUAAGGUGAAUCUAUACCAGUUAGUGGUUAGUAGACAGUAACCAGUCCCAGUAAGGUGAAUCUAUACCAGUUAGUAGACAGUAACCAGUCCCAGUAUGGUGAAUCUAUACCAGUUAGUAGACAGUAACCAGUCCCAGUAAGGUGAAUCUAUACCAGUUAGUAGACAGUAACCAGUCCCAGUAUGGUGAAUCUAUACCAGUUAGUAGACAGUAACCAGUCCCAGUAAGGUGAAUCUAUACCAGU
Molecule: long non-coding RNA, 1860 nt
Organism: Oncorhynchus keta (chum salmon)
Lineage: Eukaryota; Metazoa; Chordata; Actinopteri; Salmoniformes; Salmonidae
Exons: 5
Source: RefSeq, a predicted model, not a curated record